UUAUCUAUAUUACUGCUACGUUCGCGCACGCAGGCUGUCUACUAAGACCGAUGUUAAAUCCCCGUUCUUAACCUGCGAACUGUUCCCGACUGGCUUGCUUUUGUCUCGUACAGGGGGGGACAAGUCCCGGUGUACCGGUGAAAUGGGUGAAGACUUGGAGGAAUACCGGCGUCCAACGGGGUCCCCUGGACGAAGACUGACUCUCUUGCCGAACGGCGCGGGGAGCAAACAGGAUUAGAUACCCUGGGACUGACGCACUAAACCAUGUAUUCUUGGAGGUUGUUCCCUUGAGCCAUGGCUUCCGGAUCUCCGCGUGCCCCAAACCGCCUGGGGACUACGGCCGCAUCGCUAAAACUCAAAUGAAUUGACGGGGGUCCGCACAACCGCUGAAUAAUGCGCUUGAAUUCCAUGUUGCGCGGACAACCUUACCUACUCUUGACAUCCAACGAACUUGGCAUACAUGCCUUGGGGCCUUCUGGAACGCUGAGACCCGGGCUGCAUGCCUGUCGGCAACUCCCGCUGUGAAAUGUUGGGUUAAGGCCCGCACCAACCGGGACCCUUAUCCUGUGUUGUCCCCGAUUCUUYCGGGAACUCAGAGGAUACUGCCGGUGAUGAACCGCUUGAAGGUGGGGAUGACUCCAAAUCAUCAUGGCCCUUACGCUAGGGCUACACUCGUGCUACCUGGCGCAUACUAAGACAGCGACCUCACAAGAGCAAGCGGAGCUCACAAAGUGCGUUUACUACGGAUCUAACUCUGCAACUCGACUGCGUUAACUCCCAAUCACU
RNAcentral lists this ribosomal RNA (786 nucleotides) under Pantoea sp. RNAcentral describes it as "bacterial SSU rRNA". The record is from RNAcentral. Lineage: Bacteria; Pseudomonadati; Pseudomonadota; Gammaproteobacteria; Enterobacterales; Erwiniaceae.